This 359-nucleotide ribosomal RNA is filed under the name uncultured bacterium. RNAcentral describes it as "partial 16S ribosomal RNA". It matches the Rfam family "Bacterial small subunit ribosomal RNA", at positions 338 to 694 of the family's 1533-position model. The record is from RNAcentral.
CCUACGGGAGGCUGCAGUGAGGAAUAUUGGUCAAUGGGCGGGAGCCUGAACCAGCCAAGUCGCGUGAGGGAAGACGGUCCUAUGGAUUGUAAACCUCUUUAGGCGGGGAGCAAUGCCGGGCACGCGUGCCCGGAUGGAGAGUACCCGCCGACUAAGCCUCGGCUAACUCCGUGCCAGCAGCCGCGGUAAUACGGAGGAUGCGAGCGUUAUCCGGAUUUAUUGGGUUAAAAGGGUGCGUAGGCGGAUCGUUAAGUCAGCGGUAAAAGGUCCGGGCUCAACCCGGGCCGGCCGUUGAAACUGGGGAUCUUGAGGGGGCGAGAAGUAUGCAGAAUGCGUGGUGUAGCGGUGAAAUGCAUAGA